Molecule: unclassified non-coding RNA, 316 nt
Organism: Mustela putorius furo (domestic ferret)
Lineage: Eukaryota; Metazoa; Chordata; Mammalia; Carnivora; Mustelidae
Gene: 7SK
Rfam family: 7SK RNA
About the family: 7SK was discovered as an abundant small nuclear RNA in the mid-70s but a possible function has only recently been suggested. Two independent studies have found that 7SK RNA binds the CDK9/cyclin T complex (known as elongation factor P-TEFb). P-TEFb activates transcription by phosphorylating the C-terminal domain of RNA polymerase II.
Source: Ensembl
GGAUGUGAAGGUGAUCUGGCUGUGACACCUGUCAUCCCAUUGACCACCAGCAUUGUUUCGGCUGAUCUAGCUGGAUGGGCGGGUGUCCCCUACCUUGCUCAUGUCUCCAUGUACAUCCAUCUAGAAGCUGCGGGCCUAGUGGAAGAGGACAAUCUUCCCUGAUAGAGGAGGACCGUUCUUCAGUCAAGGGCAUAGGAGCAGCUGUUCUCCUUGCUAAAACUUCCAAACAAGCUCCCAAAUGAAAUAAAUAAGAUCUUUAAAAUCCCAUCUGCAUCCAGUGCUAGCUAGAUGGCCUUGGGCAUGUCCCCUAGCCUCU